GGCCGGCGGAGGCAGGGCCCGGCCCGCACCUGCGGAGCCCAGCGGAGCCCCCGCCCCGGGCGGUGCGGCGGGGCGGGAGGCAGCGGCGGGGAGCCGCGUACCGGAGGUGUCGGUGCGAGCAUUUCUUUUGGGAAGAGGCAUUUGACAGAGCACAAGCUCGGCAAAAUGCUGCCGGGCUGAAGGUGGCCAUGGGUCCUCUGCAGUAUUCAAAGACACGUCUGCUUGACUUCACUGGGGAGAUGGCCUUUAGAAGCGCUAUGCUCUAACAAUAACAUUUUCCAUCCAUCCAAGCUGAUCUGUGCAUAGCACGUACGCUUCUUCCCAGAGCGAGCGUAAUUAGUGAACAAGGAAACUACAUGACAGCUAACGGGAAGACUUAGAACUCAUUACAAAAUAGAGUCUAAACAUUAAUCUUGAACGUAUGCAAGCAGACAACACAGAUAUCAUCGGGAAGUGAAUCUGGGGUUUCAGCAUCUAAAUUUCAUCCACCCGGCUGGAUGGGAUGGCAAGUCGGAAUGAGUAAGGGCAUGUGUGAACAGCAAAGGAGGCUUUAUAUGUGUAACACAGCACUGCUUCAGAUGUCCUGCCCUGCUGAUGCACGGCCCAAGGUACCACAUAAACAUCGGGGAAGACUAUCCGUUAGUAUUUAAUGUAAUAAAGGAGAAAGGAGGCAAGAAAGCAGAAGUAGCAGGAGAAAAUUUCCUGCCAACGUAGCAAGGACUGAUCUCAACAAAAGCAGCUCCGUACUUGUCUUUUACCAGGCACCCUGGAACACAGUAGAACGGACAUAGCAGAAUAUAUAUAGGCAGAUUUUCCUUACAAUGGCUACAGCGCUGCCAGUGCAUUCCUGGAACGUGGAAAUACAUGGAAGCCAGCGUCAGCAAUGAAGAAAAGCAUGCUGUGCCUAAUGUACCAGAAGAGCUAUUCAAGAACUCAUCCUUACGUAAAAAUAACUCCGAAGAAGCUGCCAAGAUCAGUGUAAGCUCAGCUUCGUAGCUUCACGGGUAUCUAUCUACCUUGCACGCGCGGCUUCACCCUGCACGCCCGGAUACAACGCCCAGUUGUUCCAAGUGAGUGGUUCCAGCUCAUCACUUCAUUUGCACGUUCAGGCCUUUGACCCUUCGGCCCCACAGACGUCAUGGCCUGCACCAGAAACCUGUGCAGAGCAGAAAUAAUUUGGAUGCAAAUUAUAUGAGAGAACAUCUCCGUUUCUAGCCAUGGACACAUUCCCUCAGACAAGAAUCUUUUUCGUUGCUUAAAGAUAAGGAUAAUGCAAACCCUCUGAAGUCAGCCCAAGCUCUGUGAGCACUCUGGUUCUGUACGGCAAAUCCUGUACGGCAGGCACAGCUCCCGUAUCGGUAUCCUCUGGUCAGCCUUUGAAACACCUAAUUAUUGCACUGAAGGUGUGGGGCAGUCUGCUCACAGCGCUGUUUAUUGCACACUGUUUGCUCUCCUGAGACUCACACCUGAGAUCUGUGUGGUGGGACAUGCGCUUCUUAACUCGGGUAUAACCAGCUGUCCUGUAGAUAGCAAUGGCAGGACUAAACACCCAAACAUC
Long non-coding RNA from Grus americana (Whooping crane), 1558 nucleotides. RefSeq lists it as uncharacterized. The transcript is spliced from 3 exons. The record is from RefSeq and is a predicted model, not a curated record. Lineage: Eukaryota; Metazoa; Chordata; Aves; Gruiformes; Gruidae.